GAUGAACGCUGGCGGCGUGCCUAAUACAUGCAAGUCGAGCGAACAGACGAGGAGCUUGCUCCUCUGACGUUAGCGGCGGACGGGUGAGUAACACGUGGAUAACCUACCUAUAAGACUGGGAUAACUUCGGGAAACCGGAGCUAAUACCGGAUAACAUGUUGAACCGCAUGGUUCAACAGUGAAAGACGGUCUUGCUGUCACUUAUAGAUGGAUCCGCGCCGCAUUAGCUAGUUGGUAAGGUAACGGCUUACCAAGGCAACGAUGCGUAGCCGACCUGAGAGGAUGAUCGGCCACACUGGAACUGAGACACGGUCCAGACUCCUACGGGAGGCAGCAGUAGGGAAUCUUCCGCAAUGGGCGAAAGCCUGACGGAGCAACGCCGCGUGAGUGAAGAAGGUCUUCGGAUCGUAAAACUCUGUUAUUAGGGAAGAACAAAUGUGUAAGUAACUAUGCACGUCUUGACGGUACCUAAUCAGAAAGCCACGGCUAACUACGUG
RNAcentral lists this ribosomal RNA (497 nucleotides) under uncultured bacterium. RNAcentral describes it as "partial 16S ribosomal RNA". It matches the Rfam family "Bacterial small subunit ribosomal RNA", at positions 28 to 507 of the family's 1533-position model. The record is from RNAcentral.